This 62-nucleotide non-coding RNA is filed under the name unclassified sequences. The record is from Rfam.
GCACGUUGAGCCCCAUCCAUCGGGGCUGCAGUCAGACCCGCGUCAGGCAACGGGGACGCGGG